GGAAUCAGCACUGUGCGCCAUCGGCACGGCACGGCCAUCGCCGGUGCACGAUGACACGGAAGACGUCUCUUUUGGCGAAGACGGCGCGGCCCCCAUGGUCGGUUUUCUCUCGACUGGACUUCUCCUGGAGUGCUAGCUGAUCGGUAAAGAAAGUGAAGACGGAAUUUGGACCUUUUUCGCGCCUACCGUGCAUCGUUGGACGGCGGGCAUGAAAGGCAGAGAGAGUAGUCCCAGAAGAUAAUGUCAGCAAAUUAACAAGGUAAGUUAUUAAUACAUUUAUUUUCCUUUUCAUCUCCAGCGUUGGGUGGGGCAUCUGAUUCGUGAGAUUGAAUUCCCUGCUACGUACGCCCAGCCGGAAGAGAAUCCACCUUUCUCUUUGUCAAUCAAUAAUACUAUUGCUGCCGUUGCAUUGCAUUGGUGGCCUGCUCGUUCAGUUGGGAAUCCUUCUUGAGUUAUUUAACUCUGCUCCUGUGCUUGAUUUACUGUCGGAUUACAUGUCGGAUUUAGUAUUCUAAUUAAAAAAAUAUAUAACUUUCUUUAAUUACUGUAAUUAAAGUGGCCUAUUAGCUUAGCUGGUAAGAGCGUGGUCCUAAUAAGGCCAAGGUCGCAGGUUCGAGACCUGCAUAGGCCAAAUAAAUUAUUAUUUUUUAGUAUACAGGGAUAUUCUCCCGAGCUGCUCCAAAAGGAAGCUCCCAGCGCCCAGAUUCACCUGAAGCUCCAUGCGAUGCUGGGACGUUUCAACUCUGCUCCGUAACUUUGCUUCAGCUCUCUGGCGUGCUGUUAACUUUGCAGCUAAAAAUGUUUAGUGACUGCUGAGCUGAUGCUCAGAACCUUUUUUUUUUCCUUUUCUUUGAGUGCUGUAAAACCCUGGUUUCGUUAAUGCAAUGGAAACGGGAGGCUCGGAGCCUUACGGUAACUUCAAAACACAAUUCAAACAGAAUACAACGCCGUUUUCCUUUGAUACAAA
Molecule: long non-coding RNA, 967 nt
Organism: Brachypodium distachyon (stiff brome)
Lineage: Eukaryota; Viridiplantae; Streptophyta; Magnoliopsida; Poales; Poaceae
Exons: 2
Source: RefSeq, a predicted model, not a curated record